GAUGAACGCUGGCGGCGUGCCUAAUACAUGCAAGUCGAGCGAACGGACGAGAAGCUUGCUUUUCUGAUGUUAGCGGCGGACGGGUGAGUAAAACGUGGAUAACCUACCUAUAAGACUGGGGUAACUUCGGGAAACCGGAGCUAAUACCGGAUAAUAUGUUGAACCGGAUGGUUCAAAAGUGAAAGCCGGUCUUGAUGUCACUUAUAGAUGGAUCCGAGCUGCAUUAGCUAGUUGGUAAGGUAACGGCUUACCAAGGCAACGAUGCAUAGCCGACCUGAGAGGGUGAUCAGCCACACUGGAACUGAGACACGGUCCAGACUCCUACGGGAGGCAGCAGUAGGGAAUCUUCCGCAAUGGGCGAAAGCCUGACGGAGCAACGCCGCGUGAGUGAUGAAGGUCUUCGGAUCGUAAAACUCUGUUAUUAGGGAAGAACAUAUGUGUAAGUAACUGUGCACAUCUUGACGUUACCUAAACAGAAAGCCACGGCUAACUACGUG
This 497-nucleotide ribosomal RNA is filed under the name uncultured bacterium. RNAcentral's name for it is "partial 16S ribosomal RNA". It matches the Rfam family "Bacterial small subunit ribosomal RNA", at positions 28 to 507 of the family's 1533-position model. The record is from RNAcentral.